GACGAACGCUGGCGGCGUGCCUAAUACAUGCAAGUCGUGCGGACCUUGUUGAAAACUUGCUUUUAAAAGGUUAGCGGCGGACGGGUGAGUAACACGUGGGCAACCUGCCUGUAAGACUGGGAUAACGCCGGGAAACCGGGGCUAAUACCAGAUCGUUUUUUCCUCCGCAUGGAGGAAAAAGGAAAGGCGGCUUCGGCUGCCACUUACAGAUGGGCCCGCGGCGCAUUAGCUAGUUGGCGGGGUAAUGGCCCACCAAGGCAACGAUGCGUAGCCGACCUGAGAGGGUGAUCGGCCACAUUGGGACUGAGACACGGCCCAAACUCCUACGGGAGGCAGCAGUAGGGAAUCUUCCGCAAUGGACGAAAGUCUGACGGAGCAACGCCGCGUGAGUGAAGAAGGCCUUCGGGUCGUAAAACUCUGUUGCCGGGGAAGAACAAGUGCCGUUCGAACAGGGCGGCGCCUUGACGGUACCCGGCCAGAAAGCCACGGCUAACUACGUG
Molecule: ribosomal RNA, 500 nt
Filed under: uncultured bacterium
Lineage: Bacteria
Description: partial 16S ribosomal RNA
Rfam family: Bacterial small subunit ribosomal RNA
Source: RNAcentral